CUGGUCUUCCCGUUCAUCAGACAGCCGCUUCUUCUAGUACAGCGCCAGCCGCAUCCCCGAGGCACCAUGGUGAAACCGAAGUUCUGAAUAAACGGCUUUGGUCGGAUUGGGCGCCUGGUCUGCAGGGCUGCUUUUAACUCUGCCAAAGUGGAUAUUGUCGCCAUCAAUGACCCCUUCAUUGACCUCAACUACAUGGUCUACAUGUUCCAGGAUGAUUCCACCCAUGGCAAAUUCCAUGGCACAGUCAAGGCUGAGAACGUGAAGCUUGUCAUCAAUGGAAAUCCCAUAACCAUCUUCCAGGAGCGAGAUCACACCAAAAUCAAAUGGGGUGAGGCAGGUGCUGAGUAUGUUGUGGAGUCCACUGGCAUCUUCACCACCAUGGAGAAGGCUGGGGCUCACCUACAGGGGGGUGCCAAAAGGGUCAUUAUCUCUGCCCCUUCUGCUGAUGUUCCCAUGUUUGUGAUGGGUGUGAACCACGAGAAGUACGAAAACAGCCUCAGCAUUGUCAGCAAUGCCUCCUGUACCACCAACUGCUUAGCCCCCUUGGCUAAGGUCAUCCAUGACAACCUUGGCAUUGUGGAGGGACUCAUGACCACAAUCCAUGCCAUCACUGCCACCCAGAAG
This is an RNA transcript of Otolemur garnettii (small-eared galago), 624 nucleotides long. It is a transcript of the gene named glyceraldehyde-3-phosphate dehydrogenase pseudogene, with no coding region annotated. NCBI's taxonomy places the organism in Eukaryota, Metazoa, Chordata, Mammalia, Primates, Galagidae. The transcript has a single exon. The record is from RefSeq and is a predicted model, not a curated record.